CAAGUCGAACGAGAAAGUCCGCAAGGAUGAGUACAGUGGCGUACGGGUGAGUAACACGUGGAUUAUCUGCCCUUUAGUGGGGAAUACCGCUGGGAAACCGGCGACAAUACCGCAUAAGCUCGAGAGAGGAAAGCAGCAAUGCGCUGAAGGAGGAGUCCGCGGCUGAUUAGCUAGUUGGUAGGGUAAAAGCCUACCAAGGCUGUGAUCGGUAGCCGGCCUGAGAGGGCACACGGCCACACUGGCACUGAAACACGGGCCAGACUCCUACGGGAGGCAGCAGUGGGGAAUCUUGCACAAUGGGGGAAACCCUGAUGCAGCGACGCCGCGUGAGCGAUGAAGCCCUUCGGGGUGUAAAGCUCUUUCGGCAGGGACGAUAAUGACGGUACCUGCAGAAGCAGCUGCGGCUAACUACGUGCCAGCAGCCGCGGUAAUACGUAGGCAGCAAGCGUUGUUCGGAGUUACUGGGCGUAAAGGGUGCGUAGGCGGUCCUGUAAGUAUGGUGUGAAAUCUCCCGGCUUAACUGGGAGGGUGCGCUAUAGACUGCGGGACUAGAGGGUGGGAGAGGAAAGUGGAAUUCCUGGUGUAGCGGUGAAAUGCGUAGAUAUCAGGAGGAACACCGGUGGUGUAAACGGCUUUCUGGACCACUUCUGACGCUGAGGCACGAAAGCGUGGGUAGCAAACAGGAUUAGAUACCCUGGUAGUCCACGCCCUAAACGAUGCAUAUUUGGUGUGGGCCAUUCAUUUGGUCUGUGCCGGAGCUAACGCGUUAAAUAUGCCGCCUGGGGAGUACAGUCGCAAGGCUGAAACUCAAAGGAAUUGACGGGGGCCCGCACAAGCGGUGGAGCAUGUGGUUUAAUU
Molecule: ribosomal RNA, 858 nt
Filed under: uncultured Bacillota bacterium
Lineage: Bacteria; Bacillati; Bacillota
Description: bacterial SSU rRNA
Rfam family: Bacterial small subunit ribosomal RNA
Source: RNAcentral